RNAcentral lists this long non-coding RNA (782 nucleotides) under Homo sapiens (human). RNAcentral describes it as "HSALNT0307187". The record is from RNAcentral. Lineage: Eukaryota; Metazoa; Chordata; Mammalia; Primates; Hominidae.
AGCAGCCGCGCCAGCCUCAUGCCGAGUCCCGCUAGAGAAGCCACAGCCAGUACGCCAGGUUUCCCCGCGCCUCUGCCGAGUGGGUUGAAGGCAAAUACUUGAAGUUGCAAUCGAAGGUCAAGAAAAUGGAAUCAAGAGGUCACAAUCCUUCUCUGAUGAUGGCUUAGAAAGCUGGAAGACACUCAACAUUGAAUCCUGGGGCUCUGUGCCAUGCUUGCUAGGAGAAACAGCCACCAUGAGUCCAUCUUUCAGAUCUCAAGUGAACAGGGAAGAGAUUACUGCGUUCAGCACAGGGACAUCUACAAAGAAGGGAAGAAGAAACAGGGACAGACCAGUGAAGCAAUAGAAUAGUUACGUGGUUGUCAUUCUCCAGCUGGGAUUGAGAACAAGGGGAAGCUGGCCAUAGAGCCAGGUGACCAAAGAUGGAAGACAAAGGGUGGGCUGUGAUUCCCAGAGCUCCAAGCCUUGUUCUGUCUUGUCACACCAACUGUUACUGAUGAACAGGUUUACAAUCUUUGAGGCCUGGCUGACUCAUGGAACAACUAGGACAAGAAACAAAGACAAAGAACACACACCUGACUGGACAGAGAUAAACCAAGAGCUGAGAGUUUUGGAAACAAGGCUGGAGCUGAGGAAAAGGACUGGGAACACGAACCUGUACAAACAACAAAUUCUUACAACAGAAAACAAGCCACUCCUGGCCAUCAAGAAACCCACAAAUCUCAGAAGCAAAAGCAAAACAAAUGAAAAUACAAACCAAAUAGUCUCUAUUACCUUCAUGC